UAAGUACUACCUUCGUCCGGAAGUACUUAUCCUAAAAAUGUAAAUAAUGGAUGUAUCUAUAAUUAAAAUAAAUCUAGAUACAUUCAUCUUUAGGACAAGUAUUUUCGAACGGAGGGAGUAUAUA
Hordeum vulgare subsp. vulgare (domesticated barley) is the source of this 124-nucleotide non-coding RNA. NCBI's taxonomy places the organism in Eukaryota, Viridiplantae, Streptophyta, Magnoliopsida, Poales, Poaceae. The record is from Rfam.